RNAcentral lists this transfer RNA (40 nucleotides) under Ceratodon purpureus. Its description in RNAcentral is "partial tRNA-Ser". The record is from RNAcentral. Lineage: Eukaryota; Viridiplantae; Streptophyta; Bryopsida; Pseudoditrichales; Ditrichaceae.
GAAUAAUUAAGGAAAGAGAGGGAUUCGACCCCCUCGGUAA